This is a non-coding RNA of Zootoca vivipara (common lizard), 3277 nucleotides long. NCBI's taxonomy places the organism in Eukaryota, Metazoa, Chordata, Lepidosauria, Squamata, Lacertidae. The record is from RefSeq and is a predicted model, not a curated record.
UCUUUCCCUCGCAGUCUUAAUGACUUCCACAUGGGCUUCUGGCAUUCUGAGCAUUGUCUGAAAUCUCCAAAUUUAGAAGAAAUAUGAAAAUUGUCAAGCACGCCUUCCUUAGGGGGUAAAACCAACAUUCGCUUGAACUGUCGCAGGUCAAGGCAGCGGGACCACGUGACCAGGCCCCAGCCAAUGGCUGCCCUCAGGACCACUGACAGAUGAGGCCGUCCGCCGUGGAGCAUCGUCUUUCAGCUCAUAUAAGGUAAAAGUAAAAGGUUUUCCAGAUUCUGAGCAGUGAGGGAAAAGUUUUCACCCAGGACCCCUUGUGCCAGCGGCUUAAAAAAGGAGUGUCAACACCGCUCUCCCAGUGUGGCCCUCUGUGUUUCGAAGAGAGGAGAUGGCGCCCACCUUCCCCAUCCUCACCAAGGGCCUAGUGCAUGACAGGUGUGGGCAAGCACAGGAUUGGCUACUGGGGGGAGCAGUCACACGUCUGAGGAUUGGAAGCCUUGCAAAGGACAAUGGACAGCCAAUCUUGAGGAAGAGUCGCAGAUGGCAAGCUAGCUCAGGACGCUAGUCCAUAGCAAGACUGUGACUGGUGUCAGUCCAUCAAAACCUAGUUUCAGCCAACUUUGCUUCUCUUUUAAAAUGAGCGUGAGGUCACAGUAUCAUUGUGAAUGUACAGUAGGUAAUGAUGGUAUUGGUUCAAUAUGUUACAUUACCCAACCUUGCCGUAAACAAUCUGCGGAAUUGUAGCUUGCUGAUGACCGGUUCCUGGCUAUGUUGGGUUUCUCACCGACAGAACUAUAGUUCCUACAGCUCCCUGGGGAGGUGGACUUGCCUCUGAGCCAGUUGAGUGUAAAUACACACUGGCUACAGUCCAACACAGAACUAUAGCAUGCUUAAGCCCAUUCUAAUCAAUUAUCUAAAGUAUGCUUAACCUAGCUUUGGUUUAUGGCUGGCAUGGGUUAGGGUGGAGGCAUGGUUCAAAGGUUAGGAAGAUGAAAAGAAACACUAGAUGUCACCUUCCACAAAUGACUGUGGUUUUUUUGCUUUUCAUUUUUCAUUUUAUGUUUGCAGGGAUUUGUCUUUUUUGGAAACUAUUUGGGCAAUGACGUCUUGUCCUUUCGUUCUCCCUGUCCCUUUGACUCAUUGUGGCUCAUUCCCAAACUUGGCUAAAACUUUUCGUUCCCAACCCAAAUCUAUUCUGUCUGGAUAUAAUGUUGUGUUUGGCAGGGUUUCUGAAACACAGAUUUUACAGAUCUGGGGGUUUGGGGUGAGUUUUUCAGAUGAUCUCAAGACUUGGUAAGCCAGUCUCUCCUACCUUUCCUCCAGCUAUGGAAUCAGAGCUACAAAAGAAAGAAAGAAAAAUGCUCAGAUCCUUUUCAGAAGCCAAGCAAAGAUGCAGAUGUGGCGCAUAUUGAAUGCACAGCUGUCAAAAAAAAUGGUCACCGGUAAUUUCAGAGAAGGUCAAUGCAUCAGCAUAUACAGGAGUGUGAAAUUCAGGCAUCCAGAAAGCUCAUAGGACCCCUGAUGAAAGCUGUUUUGCUUGCAUGUUAUACAGCAGUGUCUUCCAGCAUCUGGCAAAUGCUGCGGAAACCAAUUGUGUCAUUGGUUGCUGUUUUCUUCUCCUACUGAGUAGAAACCUGGAUUAUUUAUUUAUUUAUUUAUUUAUUUAUGCAUGCAUGCCCGUUUUGAGAUGAUUGGAAGCAUGAGGAAAUGAGUGCCUUGCUUCUCAAAGGGUGAUUAGGGCCCUGCUCUCCCUCUCUCUGCUGGAGUUAGUGACAGAACCUUCCUUUCUCUAUCACACAGCACACACCUCUCCCUGUACUGUGUCUGCCUGGUGAAGGAGGAGGAGAAGGGGGGUGGAGAUCAUUUCUGAGGGCUGUGCUUAGAGCCGAGGGGAAGGAGAGGCUGCCAAGGAGCCGGAUGGAGCUGCAGCCCCUGGAGCUGCCAUCUGCUUCUUGUCAGGUUGUUGUGAAGUGCUUGUUCCUGGCUGCCUGGGUGACAGAGGCUGCUGGACUGCAGCAAAAGGAUGCGGUUAUGACAGAUGCUCUGUUUACCAUACUUUGUGCCUAGUCAGGAUCACACAGGAUGUUUGCUUUUGCCUGGGAAAGUCACCGUUUGGUGUCUUGCUCACCUCCUUCCCCAGCGUGUGCUUUCCAAAGGGUCAUCUCCGUUGGGAGGUAUGGAGACCGCACUCCAUCUGUCUUCCUUCGCUCAUGGGAGAAGACUCCCCUUGGUGGGAAUCCCUGUGCUUCCUCGAGGUGUGACGCAGCUGGGGACCCAUUUUCCCCUUUACAACAGGGGUGGGCGGUCUGUGGCGCAAUCAGGUGUUGUCUGACUCCAACUCCAGGCAGAAUGGCCAAUAAUCGGAUACUAGAGUUGGAGUCCAACAACAUCGUGGGGAGGGGGCGGCACAGGUUCCCCAUCCCUGCUCUACAGCAAGGCAUGUCACUGCUCCUCUAGUGAUGCAUAAAGGUUCUUUCAAUGUCCAUUAAUUCCUUGCCACUUGAGUCCUUCUUAGACUGCAUCAGUAGCAGGUGGCUUAGUGGGGUGAGGGGCUGUUGCUUACCUGGCUGCCCAAUGUGGAGGUUGCUGCUGGUAGCCAAGAGGCAGUGGGGAAGUCAGCACACUGCAAGCACAGUGGUAGAGCCAUCCUUAUGCUUCAUCCACACCAACCUCUUUUCUGCCUCCCCACUCCCCCUAAACCCUUUGGUUACGAGCAGUGACCUCCAUGUUGGGAUGCCAGGUAAGCAAUGCCACUCCACUCCACCAGCUGCUAGUGAUGCUACUGGAUUGCAUGUGGUUCAGCUCCAUGAAAGGAAUGUUGGGGAAGGUGUUGCAGUGGUUGACAAAGCCUUAGGAGCAAUCCAGGUCCUUCCCCUGGAGUCUCCUGCUUCCUGCUGGCACUACAGCCAGAUGGAUCGCUGCAGGAGAAUGCCAGAGCUUUCCCAUAGACAAAAAUGCAAAGGCUUUCAACACUGUCUCUGCUAAAUCUUAGCUCAUCCUGUAGUCAGUCAGAAAUCAGAAUGAGCAGGUUAAUUUUAGAAUGUAAUGAUUUUACCAAGGUUAUCUCACAUCUGAUCUCCUGUUACUCCGUUCUUGGGCAAAGCGGAUCAUAGCCCCCUAAGGAUCCUUCUACAAACAAGAAUGAAAGACAGAAUUAUCUCUUUUGGAUCAAAGGCUGAUUACAGAGACUGAUUUAUCUUAUGGGAAAAAGUGAAGCUAAGUAUAAUGGAACUGUAAUGAAAUUGGAAUGAAUAAAUAUGUAAUGUUUUUAAAGUGA